GGUCAACAUGUCGGAAGAAGAGUCAAUUUGAGGGUGAAAGGUUUGAGGAAGACAUGUGGAUCCAAUGAGAGAGUCCCUCCAGUUUACCAGCUGUAGGAGUCAUGAGAAUUACCUUGAAAGGGGCCUGCCAUUUAGGAGAGAGGGGUCGAGGAGGUAUAGGAACCCAGUCUGCCACCAGCACAAGUCCACUUUUCCUGCAAUCAGACUGCUAGAAUUCUCACACAAGUCUCGUUGGAUUGGUGGAUAUCAGACCAGGGUUUAUGAGUAACUCUUCCCGACUCCAAAGAAGGCUAUAACAGUGGUUCUCCACCU
This is a long non-coding RNA of Mus caroli (Ryukyu mouse), 312 nucleotides long. RefSeq lists it as uncharacterized. The record is from RefSeq and is a predicted model, not a curated record. NCBI's taxonomy places the organism in Eukaryota, Metazoa, Chordata, Mammalia, Rodentia, Muridae.